GUCCUGUUUAGUCUGAUGAGUUGUAGCUGAUCUUUUCAGAUAUGUGCACACCUCUAUCUACCACCCAUGUGCACCUUUUGUAGGCUUUUUUGCCUAUGUUUAUUACUCACACACCAUUUUUUUUGUACAAUAAUGUUAUUGAUGAUUUUUACUACUACUUUCAACAACGGAUCUCUUGCUUCUCUCAUCGAUGAACAACGCAACGAAAUGCAAUAAGUAAUGUGAAUUGAAUAAUUCGAUGAAUCAUCUAAUCUUUGAACGCACCUUGCGCUCCUUGUUAUUCCGAGGAGCAUGGCUGUUUGAGUGUCAUUAAAUUAUCCACCUCUUCAAGAGGGUUGUAUUUGGAGUGUUGCUGGAUUAUUGUUGCCUCCUCUUAGAUGAAUUAAGGUUGGGUGUAUGCUUUGGUUUGAUAAUAUCUAUGCCAUCGCUGUAAUGCAAAACAAUCUUGAAAUUUGACCUCAAAUCAAGUAGGACUACCCGCUGAACUUAAUCAUAUCAAUAAGCGGAGGAAAAGAAACUAACAAGGAUUCCCCUAGUAGCUGCGAGUGAAGCGGGAAAAGCUCAAAUUUAAAAUCUGAUAUUCUUUACGGCUGUACGAGUUGUAAUCUAAAGAAGUGCUUUCCGUGCUGGACCGAUACAAAUUCUGCUGA
This 650-nucleotide ribosomal RNA is filed under the name uncultured Hygrophorus. RNAcentral describes it as "eukaryotic LSU rRNA". The stretch from base 454 to 650 matches the Rfam family "Eukaryotic large subunit ribosomal RNA", at positions 1 to 193 of the family's 3401-position model. Lineage: Eukaryota; Fungi; Basidiomycota; Agaricomycetes; Agaricales; Hygrophoraceae. The record is from RNAcentral.